This is a long non-coding RNA of Cygnus olor (mute swan), 1421 nucleotides long. RefSeq lists it as uncharacterized. The record is from RefSeq and is a predicted model, not a curated record. The transcript has 3 exons. NCBI's taxonomy places the organism in Eukaryota, Metazoa, Chordata, Aves, Anseriformes, Anatidae.
ACCCAGGAUCUCACGCCAGCACAGAUUGGCCUGCUGGGAACCCAGAUGAAGUCUAACAAAAAAGAGAGAGGCGAGCUGGGACGUGACACCUGCACUGCUCCCCGUGUGCCCAUGGCAGCCAGAAUCUGUCCCCGGGGAGCAAAGGCACCAUGUGGCAUGUGUUAGGAGGCCAGCUGCUGCCCGUAAUGUCCCCACCACGUGUGGUUGGGAGCCCCAGGCUGAUGCUGACCGGCUCCCCGCUGGUCCUCCACAGCUGGGGCACCACACAAAGGUCUCCUCCUGCCCGAAGCCCCAGCAAGAGACUGGGACCCAGUGCGGUGUGCCAAACUGGUCUGAGCACCAGAGCUGAGUGCCAGGAAGAGUGGUUACCUGUGGCAUCACUCCGAACCAUAGGAUCAUUGAGGUCGGAAAAGACCUUCAAGAUCACGAAGUCCAACCAUCAGCCUGACCUACCAAGUCCCAUCACUAUACCACGUCCCUCAGCGCCACAUCCCUGUGUCUCUUGAAUACCUCCGGGGAUGGGGGCUCCACCACGUCCCUGGGCAGCCCGUUCCAGAGUCUCAUGCUGUGCAACCAGGUACAAAAAUCAGCUCCGGUGGCUUUGCCCAAGGGGCUCAGAUGUCACAGGAUUUUGAACUUAGAAGAACUGUAUGGAGAAGAGUGAAAUGAUAUGCUUGGUGGUUUCCUAAAAUAUAUCUGAGGACCAGAGUCUGACAUACGCAGAAUGAUUUCCUGCCUCCCUUCGCAGCUCUGCUGAGGCUCGGAGAAACCACUUGGCCGGCUGCUGAUGGUGCGGGAGGUUUGGGAUGUCUUCCCCCAGCAGAUUUUUGCUCUCAUCUGGUGCCCUGGUGCCCACGGCAGGGAGGACAAGUUUGCCUGUGCUUAGCACAAGCAUUCAGAGAACUUGAUGGUGCUGGAGGAGACAGGGUUUUAUUGUAGAGUUCACCUCACAUGAUUUAUUUACUGUUUUUCAAAAUACAGUAGGAUAGGUUUUGGCUAUAAGUGCCAUGAAACCUGAAAAGGAGGGUGAAAACUUCUUUUUAUUUUUUUAUUUUUUUGUCUGAUUACUAAAUGGGGAAAAGCCAGAGAAGAGCUCCGAGAGCCAGCAAUGCCAGGAGGGAGUGAGGAGAAGAUUGGGUUUCAGCUCCUUGCCCUUCCCAGCCUGUCUCUGAAGAGCAGCCUUCUGUAAUUUUAGUUGUGAUUGAAUAUUUAACUGCAUGAAAAUGGUAGCCUGCACCUAAUAAUAUCCCCAUGAUGAGGACACUGCUUCAGACCCAGCGUAGUGGUGCAGGCCAAGGCUUGGGUAAAGGUCUGGGGUGCAGGUCAUGGAGCCACGCAAUUGGAGAAAUUUAUGACCUUUCUUGUAAUGAAGUUUCAUUACAUUUCAAAGGAACACUUCACCUUUUAAAAUGAAAAAGGGA